UCGUGCUAGGUGGGGGGCUGGCGGUCCCCUGUCAGCCGAAACCCGCCCAAGCGGGACCGAAAAGGCAUGCUGAGUACUGAAAAAGGCAAGAAUAACUUGUGGGCGCAAAGGCGAUGAAGGUCGGGUCUUACAAUGGCUAAGGUCUACAAACCCCGCCAGGACCGGAAGGUAGCAACGGUAAGUAGGUUUUGGUCAAGUGUAAGGGCACCUGACCAGAGUUUUUGUCCCAAAAGUCCUUGCCCGCUUCAGGCGAACUUGCCGCACGA
Molecule: signal recognition particle RNA, 266 nt
Filed under: Caldifarciminota bacterium
Lineage: Bacteria; Pseudomonadati; Caldifarciminota
Description: candidate division WOR-3 bacterium (hot springs metagenome) signal recognition particle sRNA large type
Rfam family: Bacterial large signal recognition particle RNA
About the family: The signal recognition particle (SRP) is a universally conserved ribonucleoprotein involved in the co-translational targeting of proteins to membranes.
Source: RNAcentral